Molecule: ribosomal RNA, 374 nt
Filed under: uncultured organism
Description: bacterial SSU rRNA
Rfam family: Bacterial small subunit ribosomal RNA
Source: RNAcentral
CGUAGGACCCAAGCGUUAUCCGGAGUGACUGGGCGUAAAGAGUUGCGUAGGUGGUUUGUAAAGCGAAUAGUGAAAUCUGGCGGCUCAACCGUACAGGCUAUUAUUCGAACUCACAAACUCGAGAAUGGUAGAGGUAACUGGAAUUUCUUGUGUAGGAGUGAAAUCCGUAGAUAUAAGAAGGAACACCAAUGGCGUAGGCAGGUUACUGGACCAUUUCUGACACUGAGGCACGAAAGCGUGGGGAGCGAACCGGAUUAGAUACCCGGGUAGUCCACGCCGUAAACGAUGGAUACUAGCUGUUGGAGGUAUCGACCCCUUCAGUAGCGAAGCUAACGCGUUAAGUAUCCCGCCUGUGGAGUACGGUCGCAAGACUA